CCUAUGGGAGGCAGCAGUUUCGAAUCGUUCACAAUGGGGGCAACCCUGAUGGCGCGACGCCGCGUGGGGGAUGAAGGUCUUCGGAUUGUAAACUCCUGUCAUUGGGGACUAACGGCCAGGCUCAUACCCUGGUUUGAAUUAACCCCAAAGAGGAAGCAGUGGCUAACUCUGUGCCAGCAGCCGCGGUAAUACAGAGACUGCAAGCGUUACUCGGAUUCACUGGGCGUAAAGGGAGCGCAGGCGGAUUAGUGUGUCAGGCGUGAAAUCCCGGGGCUCAACCCCGGUACCGCGCCCGAAACUACUAAUCUAGAGACUUGGAGGGGUAAGCGGAAUUCUGGUGGAGCAGUGAAAUGCGUAGAUAUCAAGAGGAACACCAACGGCGAAGGCAGCUUACUGGACAAGAUCUGACGCUCAGGCUCGAAAGCGUGGGGAGCAAAAGGGAUUAGAUACCCCUGUAGUCCACGCUGUAAACGGUGCGCAUUAGGUCUUGGAGCUUUCGAACGCUCCAGGGCUCAAGCUAACGCAUUAAAUGCGCCGCCUGAGGACUACGGCCGCAAGGCUAAAACGUCAAAUGAAUUGACGG
This 583-nucleotide ribosomal RNA is filed under the name uncultured bacterium. Its description in RNAcentral is "bacterial SSU rRNA". It matches the Rfam family "Bacterial small subunit ribosomal RNA", at positions 338 to 916 of the family's 1533-position model. The record is from RNAcentral.